GAUGAACGCUGGCGGCGUGCCUAAUACAUGCAAGUCGAGCGAACAGACGAGGAGCUUGCUCCUCUGACGUUAGCGGCGGACGGGUGAGUAACACGUGGAUAACCUACCUAUAAGACUGGGAUAACUUCGGGAAACCGGAGCUAAUACCGGAUAAUAUAUUGAACCGCAUGGUUCAAUAGUGAAAGACGGUUUUGCUGUCACUUAUAGAUGGAUCCGCGCCGCAUUAGCUAGUUGGUAAGGUAACGGCUUACCAAGGCAACGAUGCGUAGCCGACCUGAGAGGGUACCCGCCCACACUGGACUUGAGACAGGUCCAAGCCCCUAAGGGGAGCAGGAAGAGGGAAACUUCCCGAAUGGGGCGAAGGCCUGAGGAGCAACGCCGCGUGAGUGAUGAAGGUCUUCGGAUCGUAAAACUCUGUUAUUAGGGAAGAACAAAUGUGUAAGUAACUAUGCACGUCUUGACGGUACCUAAUCAGAAAGCCACGGCUAACUACGUG
Molecule: ribosomal RNA, 496 nt
Filed under: uncultured bacterium
Lineage: Bacteria
Description: partial 16S ribosomal RNA
Rfam family: Bacterial small subunit ribosomal RNA
Source: RNAcentral